RNAcentral lists this transfer RNA (72 nucleotides) under Bos taurus (domestic cattle). It matches the Rfam family "tRNA". From Rfam's summary of the family: Transfer RNA (tRNA) molecules are approximately 80 nucleotides in length. Their secondary structure includes four short double-helical elements and three loops (D, anti-codon, and T loops). Lineage: Eukaryota; Metazoa; Chordata; Mammalia; Artiodactyla; Bovidae. RNAcentral also lists the same sequence under 4 other names. The record is from Rfam by way of RNAcentral.
UCCCUGGUGGCUCAGAUGGCUAAGUGUCUGCCUACAAUGCAGGAGACCUGGGUUCAAUUCCUGGGUUGGGAA